GACGUAGGAUGCAAGCGUUGUCCGGAAUUAUUGGGCGUAAAGAGUUCGUAGGCGGUAUAUCAAGUCUGGUGUUAAAGACCGAGGCUCAACUUCGGAAGAGCACUGGAUACUGAUAAACUAGAGUGCAGGAGAGGCAAGGGGAAUUCCCAGUGUAGCGGUGAAAUGCGUAGAUAUUGGGAGGAACACCGGUGGCGUAAGCGCCUUGCUGGACUGUAACUGACGCUGAGGAACGAAAGCCAGGGGAGCGAAUGGG
This 253-nucleotide ribosomal RNA is filed under the name uncultured bacterium. RNAcentral's name for it is "partial 16S ribosomal RNA". It matches the Rfam family "Bacterial small subunit ribosomal RNA", at positions 524 to 776 of the family's 1533-position model. The record is from RNAcentral.